RNAcentral lists this ribosomal RNA (305 nucleotides) under uncultured bacterium. RNAcentral's name for it is "partial 16S ribosomal RNA". It matches the Rfam family "Bacterial small subunit ribosomal RNA", at positions 508 to 807 of the family's 1533-position model. The record is from RNAcentral.
ACAGCAGUAGCCGCGGUAAUACGGAGGGGGCUAGCGUUGUUCGGAAUUACUGGGCGUAAAGCGCACGUAGGCGGCUUGGUAAGUUAGAGGUGAAAGCCUGGAGCUCAACUCCAGAAUUGCCUUUAAGACUGCCGAGCUAGCAGGUGAGAGAGGUAAGUGGAAUUCCGAGUGUAGAGGUGAAAUUCGUAGAUAUUCGGAAGAACACCAGUGGCGAAGGCGGCUUACUGGCUCAUACUGGACGCUGAGGUGCGAAAGCGUGGGGAGCAAACAGGAUUAGAGACCCCAGUAGUCCCUGUCUCUUAUAC